CUUGAAGACAAAUGCACUUUUAUUUUUUUAUUUUCCCACUCUCUGUAACUUUACCUUGCUGUUAGUAUGGUUUACCUUGAAAAGCUUUGGGAAGUCUGCUUGGAGUUAUUUCACCACGUCCAGUGUUUCCUAAGGGUCCGGCAGGAUGCAUUGUCGGACAGUAAACGAGGAGUGCGUGCAGUGCCCCUCCGCGAACACACACACACACACACAGGCAUAUUGUCAGCAAACAAAGUUUGCUUAUGCAUGCAGUGGCCCUCACCUUGAGAGAGCAAGAGGGAGAUAGACACCAGCAACAUGGCACACACAAUCUUCCCUGAACCCAAAGGAUCUCUGGUUGUUAAUACAUAACACCGGUUUGUGUUUAACCUGAUAUACUCUCACUGUAUCCACUCACUGUGUCAGCUAUUCCCGAACACAUGCAGGCAUGCAUACAAAUGCACACACACACACCACUCUGUUUCCCUGGGUUCUGCUGGAUCGUACCAGUAAUCCCUUUUUCCACGCUUCAUCCCAACACACGUACUAAGCCUAUUAGGUUAUUGACGUGGUUGGCAGAGGUACAGGAUGGCUCUCUGUUGGGGCCGCACACUCACCUUGCAGUUCAUAAUUUGUGCACUUCGAAACAGUUUUGAAAACCAAACUGUUAUCUAUAUCAAAUUGAUACUGAGAGUUUUUUUGUCAUUGACACAUUUUAAACAGGGGCAAGGAUUUUAUAUGACCUGGCUUUAGCCAACAUUAAGAUGCUUUGGUGUCUUUUAAAUGUCUUCCAUUGCCAAAAUGUUAUUUGUCCUCCCUGAGAUGUAUUUUUAAUUUAUGCCUUAUUUUAAUAUCUCCUCCCUCACAAUAGCACUGCAUUGUUAAAUUUUUGAGCCAGCCAUUUCAAUAUGUUGGCUUUGUGGUUCUUCUUAUAAUUCCAAAUUGGGUUCCCCAUCUUCUGAGAACUGGAGGCCUGAAUGAAGAGAGACAGCUACUUUGAUUUGUGUUAAUCAGACUUAUUUGCACAUGUGUAUAUACUGUACAUGACUUUACUACAGACCC
Esox lucius (northern pike) is the source of this 1041-nucleotide long non-coding RNA. The record is from Ensembl. Lineage: Eukaryota; Metazoa; Chordata; Actinopteri; Esociformes; Esocidae.